This 252-nucleotide ribosomal RNA is filed under the name uncultured bacterium. RNAcentral describes it as "partial 16S ribosomal RNA". It matches the Rfam family "Bacterial small subunit ribosomal RNA", at positions 524 to 776 of the family's 1533-position model. The record is from RNAcentral.
GACGUAGGGCGCGAGCGUUGUCCGGAUUUAUUGGGCGUAAAGAGCUCGUAGGCGGCUUGUCGCGUCGACCGUGAAAACCCGGGGCUCAACUUCGGGCUUGCGGUCGAUACGGGCGGGCUAGAGUUCGGUAGGGGAGACUGGAAUUCCUGGUGUAGCGGUGAAAUGCGCAGAUAUCAGGAGGAACACCGGUGGCGAAGGCGGGUCUCUGGGCCGAUACUGACGUGAGGAGCGAAAGCGUGGGGAGCAAACAGG